AUUGAACGCUGGUGGCAGGCCUAACACAUGCAAGUCGAGCGAGCGGCCGACGGGUGAGUAAUGUAUGGGGCCUGCCCGAUAGAGGGGGAUAACUACUGGAAACGGUGGCUAAUACAGCCUACUAUCGGAUAACCCAUCUGGGAUUAGCUCGUAGGUGGGGUAAAGGCUACCCUAGGCGACGAUGUAGAGCUGGUCUUAGAGGCUGAUUCGCCACAUGAUGAAUGAGACACGGCCCAGGCUCUGCCGGAGGCAUCAGUGGGGAAUAGUGCACAAUGGUCUCAAGCCUGAUACAGCCAUGCCGCGUGUAUGAAGAAGGCCUUAGGGUGGUAAAGUACUUUCAGCGGUGAGGCGUUACCCGCAGAAGAAGCACCGGCUAACUCCGUGCCAGCAGCCGCGGUAAUAC
Molecule: ribosomal RNA, 403 nt
Filed under: uncultured bacterium
Lineage: Bacteria
Description: partial 16S ribosomal RNA
Rfam family: Bacterial small subunit ribosomal RNA
Source: RNAcentral